AGCUCCGAGGUGUUUUACAUAUCAGAUUGCAAAUCCGAAGAUGCAGGUCAACGCCUGCCGGGGCUU
This 66-nucleotide transfer RNA is filed under the name Atrobucca nibe (blackmouth croaker). RNAcentral's name for it is "tRNA-Cys". It matches the Rfam family "tRNA". Rfam says of the family: Transfer RNA (tRNA) molecules are approximately 80 nucleotides in length. Their secondary structure includes four short double-helical elements and three loops (D, anti-codon, and T loops). Lineage: Eukaryota; Metazoa; Chordata; Actinopteri; Sciaenidae. The record is from RNAcentral.